This is a long non-coding RNA of Monodelphis domestica (gray short-tailed opossum), 384 nucleotides long. RefSeq lists it as uncharacterized. NCBI's taxonomy places the organism in Eukaryota, Metazoa, Chordata, Mammalia, Didelphimorphia, Didelphidae. The record is from RefSeq and is a predicted model, not a curated record.
UCGUCGUCUGACAACCUGGUGACCUCCCCCCCGUCCUGCUCAGACACGUCGUCGUCCGGGGCCAUCUUGCGGUCCUUCUUCUUGGAUGCCACCUGAGGCAGGGGAGGAAGCGACAGGAGCCGGAUGACUGGGAGGCUCUGCCUGAGUCCAGGGAAGGGCCCAGGAAGACCAGGAGGGGGGGAGGGGGCUGCUCCCACUACGGGGCAAUGGAUGGAAAGCGGUUGAGGCCAGCCACGGCCGGGCCAAGCGACUGGCCAAGAUGUCCUGAGGUCUCUUCCAGUUCUACGACUUUAUUGUGAUUCUGAGAGCUUCAAGUCAAGACCCAGAUUUGCCACUGAGCCAUCUAGGAUCAUUUUUUCCCCUCUAAUGAAUUGUUCUCCUCUC